AUUGAACGCUGGCGGCAGGCCUAACACAUGCAAGUCGAACGAGUGGCGGACGGGUGAGUAAUGUCUGGGAAACUGCCUGAUGGAGGGGGAUAACUACUGGAAACGGUAGCUAAUACCGCAUACCAUCAGAUGUGCCCAGAUGGGAUUAGCUAGUUGGUGGGGUAACGGCUCACCAAGGCGACGAUCCCUAGCUGGUCUGAGAGGAUGACCAGCCACACUGGAACUGGGACACGGUCCAGACUCCAACGGGAGGCAGAGGUGGGGAAUUUUGCCAAAGGGGCGCAAGCCUGAUGCAGCCAUGCCGGGUGGAUGAAGAGGGCCUUGGGGUUGUAAAGUACUUUCAGCGGGGAGGCGUUACCCGCAGAAGAAGCAACGGCUAACUCCGUGCCAGCAGCCGCGGUAAUUC
Molecule: ribosomal RNA, 406 nt
Filed under: uncultured bacterium
Lineage: Bacteria
Description: partial 16S ribosomal RNA
Rfam family: Bacterial small subunit ribosomal RNA
Source: RNAcentral